AUUUAUAUAAUAUAAAAAGUAUAUUUGACUUCCAAUCAAAAAGUCUAAUUAUUUAGUAUAAAUA
This 64-nucleotide transfer RNA is filed under the name Ctenochauliodes yangi. Its description in RNAcentral is "tRNA-Gly". Lineage: Eukaryota; Metazoa; Arthropoda; Insecta; Megaloptera; Corydalidae. The record is from RNAcentral.